RNAcentral lists this long non-coding RNA (257 nucleotides) under Elaeis guineensis (African oil palm). Its description in RNAcentral is "long non-coding RNA (EGUI_LNC024988)". The record is from RNAcentral. Lineage: Eukaryota; Viridiplantae; Streptophyta; Magnoliopsida; Arecales; Arecaceae.
UGGUCCUUUGGUCAGUGAAAGUGAAUGUAUCCCUAAGUUACCCUUUUCUCCCAAUUUUUGUUUUUUUCCAAUGAUAUCGAAACAAGUAAUGGAUACACUUUAAACAUCAUGCUUUCUUUUUUCCAGUUAAACCAUCAUAUUUCUAAAAUGCAGUCAGUUCUUUGAUGACUAGGAAAUGGAGCGGUUUAGCUUGCCAACUUCGGCAAGUGCAAACCAUGCACGAAUGAUGAUGUCAAGCCUGCAUGUGGGAUGUUGUG